Molecule: ribosomal RNA, 891 nt
Filed under: uncultured bacterium
Lineage: Bacteria
Description: bacterial SSU rRNA
Rfam family: Bacterial small subunit ribosomal RNA
Source: RNAcentral
AACGAACGCUGGCGGCGUGCUUAAUAUAUGCAAGUCGUACGUGAUCCGGAGUUUGCUCCGGUGAAAGUGGCGCACGGGUGAGUAACGCGUGGAUAACCUGCCCUGGUAUCUGGGAUAACAUCUCGAAAGGGGUGCUAAUACCGGAUAAGCCCACGGCUUCUUUGGAAGCUGCGGGAAAAGGUGGCCUCUGUCUCAAGCUACCGUAUCAGGAUGGGUCCGCGUACCAUUAGCUAGUUGGUAGGGUAAUGGCCUACCAAGGCGAUGAUGGUUAGCUGGUCUGAGAGGAUGAUCAGCUAUACUGGAACUGAGACACGGUUUAGACUCCUAUGGGAGGUAGCAGUGGGGAAUUUUGCGCAAUGGGGGAAACCCUGACGCAGCAACGCCGCGUGAGUGAUGAAGGCUCUCGGGUCGUAAAGCUCUGUCAGAGGGGAAGAAGUGAUGUGCGGUUAAUACCCGCACUUCUUGACGGUACCCUCAAAGGAAGCACCGGCUAACUCCGUGCCAGUAGUCGUGGUAAUACGGAGGGUGCAAGCGUUGUUCGGAUUUAUUGGGCGUAAAGCGCGUGUAGGCGGUCUCUUAAGUCUGAUGUGAAAGCCCCGGGCUUAACCCGGGAAGUGCAUUGGAUACUGGGAGACUUGAAUACGGGAGAGGGUAGUGGAAUUCCUAGUGUAGGAGUGAAAUCCGUAGAUAUUAGGAGGAACACUGGUGGCGAAGGUGGCUACCUGGACCGAUAUUGACGCUGAGACGCGAAAGCGUGGGGAGCAAACAGGAUUAGAUAUCCUGGUAGUCCACGCCGUAAAUGAUGAGAACUAGGUGUUGCGGGUAUUGAUUCCUGCAGUGCCGCAGUUAAUGUAUUAAGUUCUCUGUUUGGGAAGUACGGUCGUAAGACUA